Molecule: ribosomal RNA, 357 nt
Filed under: uncultured bacterium
Lineage: Bacteria
Description: partial 16S ribosomal RNA
Rfam family: Bacterial small subunit ribosomal RNA
Source: RNAcentral
CCUACGGGUGGCAGCAGUGGGGAAUAUUGCUCAAUGGGCGAAAGCCUGACGCAGCGACGCCGCGUGAGGGAUGAAGGUCUUCUGAUCGUAAACCUCUGUCUGCAGGGAAGAACGGUCACUGUGCUAAUCAGCAGUGAAUUGACGUUACCUGCAAAGGACGCACCGGCUAACUCCGUGCCAGCAGCCGCUGUAAUACGGAGGGUGCGAGCGUUAAUCGGAAUUACUGGGCGUAAAGCGCUCGUAGGCGGUAUGUCAAGUCAAGGGUGAAAUCCCGGCGCUCAACGUGGGAACUGCCUUUGAAACUGGCAGACUGGAGUGUGUGAGAGGCUGGUGGAAUGCGAGGUGUAGGGGUGAAAU